GUCAUCCCCAAACCUGGCACAUGGGCAGCUUUCUCUUUGGGAAGGUUUUAUGAGCAUCUCCACAGGAAUAAUAACAGAAAACCAGGACACGGGGACGGGAGAGCCGUUCCAGGAGUCCCUCCAGCUGUGUCCUUACCCACAUCUCUGGCUCACAAUGCACUGUAACAUGCAGACUCCUCUCAACAACCUUCUUCCUGUCUCCUGAUUCUCCUCUCCUUCUUUCGGGGCAAUGACUCCUGCCAUCAGGUGGCAGACCCUCCGUGUGACCUCAGCACUGACGUGACUACCAUCCUAUCUCCUCUCCACUCUUCAGCUCUUGGCUGAUGACCAGAUUCCUCCCACUGUGACACAGGAAAGUCCAAGGAAACAUAAGUUAAGCAGGAACACGAGAGUUGGCUAGGGGAGCUCAAAGAUCUCCAUCAAAGUAGCUGGGGCUACUUAGAAGGAAUCGGGUAACUGCUGGAGCUGGCGCUGUGCAAGCAACUUCACUAGUAGAGAUGCCACAUCAAGACAAGGAGGAGAAAUGCUGGUCUGUCCGUUGUUUACAAGGAGACAGAGCUGACCUGGCUCUUCAAACACGGGACAGGAGACACAGACACUACAAAAAUCAGAGCAGACAAACUCCACGUCAGCAAUGGAUGCUAUGUGGAGAAGCCCCUCACGCUUCUCUUGAUCAAGCAAGGAGUAAAGGAGGGAGACAUUGCCCUCCUGAUGGCCUGAGAGCAUCCAGUCAGCCAGGAGAUAAAACCAGGGUGGAGAAUGAGGAAGGGAGAACCAGCUCUUUAGCAUUUCUUUCCCAUCCAUGCCUUUCACUGCUGCUGCCUCCCCAAUGUCUGGCCAGUCUGCCACCACCAUCAGAAUGGGUCAACUGUGAACUUUUUUUUUCAUUCAAGAUAAUCGCAACUGAACAGAAAAUAUGUGGUGAUUUGAUAUACCUUGCACCUACUUUCCCCAAAUGUUAACAUUUUGCA
Non-coding RNA from Rattus norvegicus (Norway rat), 971 nucleotides. NCBI's taxonomy places the organism in Eukaryota, Metazoa, Chordata, Mammalia, Rodentia, Muridae. The record is from RefSeq and is a predicted model, not a curated record.